Molecule: ribosomal RNA, 524 nt
Filed under: uncultured Chloroflexota bacterium
Lineage: Bacteria; Bacillati; Chloroflexota
Description: bacterial SSU rRNA
Rfam family: Bacterial small subunit ribosomal RNA
Source: RNAcentral
CAAGGAAUUUUCCCCAAUGGGCGCAAGCCUGAAGGAGCAACGCCGCGUGGAGGACGACGGCCUUCGGGUUGUAAACUCCUUUUGGGGGGGUACGGAACAGGACGGUACCCUCCGAAUAAGCCCCGGCUAACUCUGUGCCAGCAGCCGCGGUAAGACAGAGGGGGCAAGCGUUGUCCGGACUGACUGGGCGUAAAGCGCGCGCAGGCGGUGCGAGGCGUCGGUACUCAAAGUCCACCGCUUAACGGUGGGAGGCGUGCCGAUACGCUCGGACUGGAGGGCGGGCGAGGGUGGUGGAAUUGCCGGUGUAGUGGUGAAAUGCGUAGAGAUCGGCAGGAACACCGGUGGCGAAGGCGGCCACCUAGCCCGCACCUGACGCUGAGGCGCGACAGCGUGGGGAGCGAACUGGAUUAGAUACCCAGGUAGUCCACGCCGUAAACGAUGCCGACUCGGUCUUCGUGGGGCGAAUAGCCCUGGGGGGGCCCGAGGCUCACGCGCUAAGUCGGCCGCCUGGGGACUACGAGCGC